UGGGGAAUAUUGGACAAUGGGCGCAAGCCUGAUCCAGCCAUGCCGCGUGAGUGAUGAAGGCCCUAGGGUUGUAAAGCUCUUUCACCGGUGAAGAUAAUGACGGUAACCGGAGAAGAAGCCCCGGCUAACUUCGUGCCAGCAGCCGCGGUAAUACGAAGGGGGCUAGCGUUGUUCGGAUUUACUGGGCGUAAAGCGCACGUAGGCGGACUUUUAAGUCAGGGGUGAAAUCCCGGGGCUCAACCCCGGAACUGCCUUUGAUACUGGAAGUCUUGAGUAUGGUAGAGGUGAGUGGAAUUCCGAUUGUAGAGGUGAAAUUCGUAGAUAUUCGGAGGAACACCAGUGGCGAAGGCGGCUCACUGGACCAUUACUGACGCUGAGGUGCGAAAGCGUGGGGAGCAAACAGG
This 404-nucleotide ribosomal RNA is filed under the name Actinomycetes bacterium. RNAcentral describes it as "Actinobacteria bacterium partial 16S ribosomal RNA". It matches the Rfam family "Bacterial small subunit ribosomal RNA", at positions 355 to 776 of the family's 1533-position model. Lineage: Bacteria; Bacillati; Actinomycetota; Actinomycetes. The record is from RNAcentral. RNAcentral also lists the same sequence under 1 other name.